UACGUAGGGUCCGAGCGUUGUCCGGAAUUAUUGGGCGUAAAGGGCUCGUAGGCGGUUUGUCGCGUCGGGAGUGAAAACGCCGGGCUUAACCCGGUGCUUGCUUUCGAUACGGGCAGACUGGAGGUAUGCAGGGGAGAACGGAAUUCCUGGUGUAGCGGUGAAAUGCGCAGAUAUCAGGAGGAACACCGGUGGCGAAGGCGGUUCUCUGGGACGGUACUGACGCUGAGACGCGAAAGCGUGGGGAGCGAACAGG
Molecule: ribosomal RNA, 253 nt
Filed under: uncultured bacterium
Lineage: Bacteria
Description: partial 16S ribosomal RNA
Rfam family: Bacterial small subunit ribosomal RNA
Source: RNAcentral